UAGGGAAUCUUCGGCAAUGGGGGGCAACCCUGACCGAGCAACGCCGCGUGAGUGAAGAAGGUUUUCGGGUCGUAAAGCUCUGUUGUAAGAGAAGAACGUGUGUGAGAGUGGAAAGUUCACACAGUGACGGUAACUUACCAGAAAGGGACGGCUAACUACGUGCCAC
Molecule: ribosomal RNA, 166 nt
Filed under: uncultured bacterium
Lineage: Bacteria
Description: partial 16S rRNA
Rfam family: Bacterial small subunit ribosomal RNA
Source: RNAcentral